CCGCUUCGGGAUGGCCCUGCGGCCCAUCAGCUAGUUGGUGGGGUAACGGCCUACCAAGGCAAAGACGGGUAGCUGGUCUGAGAGGACGAUCAGCCACACUGGCACUGAAACACGGGCCAGACUCCUACGGGAGGCAGCAGUGGGGAAUUUUCCGCAAUGGGCGAAAGCCUGACGGAGCAAUACCGCGUGAGGGAGGAAGGCCUUCGGGUUGUAAACCUCUUUUCUGGGGGACGAAGGGGUGACGGUACCCCAGGAAUAAGCCUCGGCUAACUCUGUGCCAGCAGCCGCGGUAAGACAGAGGAGGCGAGCGUUAUCCGGAGUUAUUGGGCGUAAAGGGUACGUAGGCGGCUGGUCAAGUCUGGGGUUAAAGACCACAGCUUAACUGUGGGGGGGCCUUGGAAACUGACCGGCUGGAGUGGGGCAGGGUUGCGGGAAUUCCCGGUGUAGCGGUGAAAUGCGUAGAUAUCGGGAAGAACACUUGAAGCGAAAGCNCGCAACUGGGCCCUAACUGACGCUG
Molecule: ribosomal RNA, 517 nt
Filed under: uncultured cyanobacterium
Lineage: Bacteria; Bacillati; Cyanobacteriota
Description: bacterial SSU rRNA
Rfam family: Bacterial small subunit ribosomal RNA
Source: RNAcentral